GGACCCGUGAUCCGGGUUGCGGACAGUGUCUGGUGGGUAGUUUGACUGGGGCGGUCUCCUCCUAAAGAGUAACGGAGGAGCACGAAGGUUGGCUAAUCCUGGUCGGACAUCAGGAGGUUAGUGCAAUGGCAUAAGCCAGCUUGACUGCGAGCGUGACGGCGCGAGCAGGUGCGAAAGCAGGUCAUAGUGAUCCGGUGGUUCUGAAUGGAAGGGCCAUCGCUCAACGGAUAAAAGGUACUCCGGGGAUAACAGGCUGAUACCGCCCAAGAGUUCAUAUCGACGGCGGUGUUUGGCACCUCGAUGUCGGCUCAUCACAUCCUGGGGCUGAAGUAGGUCCCAAGGGUAUGGCUGUUCGCCAUUUAAAGUGGUACGCGAGCUGGGUUUAGAACGUCGUGAGACAGUUCGGUCCCUAUCUGCCGUGGGCGCUGGAGAACUGAGGGGGGCUGCUCCUAGUACGAGAGGACCGGAGUGGACGCAUCACUGGUGUUCGGGUUGUCAUGCCAAUGGCACUGCCCGGUAGCUAAAUGCGGAAGAGAUAAGUGCUGAAAGCAUCUAAGCACGAAACUUGCCCCGAGAUGAGUUCUCCCUGAGACUUUAGGUCUCCUGAAGGAACGUUGAAGACGACGACGUUGAUAGGCCGGGUGUGUAAGCGCAGCGAUGCGUUGAGCUAACCGGUACUAAUGAACCGUGAGGCUUAACCUUACAACGCCGAAG
Molecule: ribosomal RNA, 714 nt
Filed under: Salmonella enterica subsp. enterica serovar Stanley
Lineage: Bacteria; Pseudomonadati; Pseudomonadota; Gammaproteobacteria; Enterobacterales; Enterobacteriaceae
Description: partial 23S ribosomal RNA
Rfam family: Bacterial large subunit ribosomal RNA
Source: RNAcentral